CCUACGUGAGGCUGCAGUGGGGAAUAUUGGGCAAUGGUCGCAAGCCUGACCCAGCAACGCCGCGUGAAGGAAGAAGGCUUUCGGGUUGUAAACUUCGGGUCUCAGGGACGAAGCAAGUGACGGUACCUGAGGAAUAAGCCACGGCUAACUAAGUGCCAGAAGCCGCGGUAAUACGUAGGUGGCAAGCGUUAUCCGGAUUUACGGGGUGGAAAGGGCGUGUAGGCGGGAAAGCAAGUCAGAUGUGAAAACCAUGGGCUCAACCUGUGGCCUGCAUUUGAAAAUGUUUUUCUUGAGUACUGGAGAGGCAGACGGAAUUCCUAGUGUAGCGGUGAAAUGCGUAGAUAUUAGGAGGAACACCAGUGGCGAAGGCGGUCUGCUGGACAGCAACUGACGCUGAGGCGCGAAAGCGUGGGGAGCAAACAGGAUUAGAUACCCGUGUAGUC
RNAcentral lists this ribosomal RNA (443 nucleotides) under uncultured bacterium. Its description in RNAcentral is "partial 16S ribosomal RNA". It matches the Rfam family "Bacterial small subunit ribosomal RNA", at positions 338 to 795 of the family's 1533-position model. The record is from RNAcentral.